Molecule: long non-coding RNA, 189 nt
Organism: Pieris napi
Lineage: Eukaryota; Metazoa; Arthropoda; Insecta; Lepidoptera; Pieridae
Exons: 2
Source: RefSeq, a predicted model, not a curated record
AAAAACAUGCUUGUUUAUAUAACUACAAACUACCUGAAUACAUGCGAAAAAAUAUAAUAGACAAGACUUGGGCAGAAAUUGGGAACAAAUUUCAAAUAACAGGAUCAGAAGCUAAAGAAAAGUGGAAAAAUCUACGUAGUGUUUUUGUUCGCCACUUGAAACCAGCCAAAAGUGGAGCAGGUACUGCAC